CCUACGGGGGGCAGCAGUGGGGAAUAUUGCACAAUGGGCGCAAGCCUGAUGCAGCCAUGCCGCGUGUGUGAAGAAGGCCUUCGGGUUGUAAAGCACUUUCAGCGGGGAGGAAGGCGUUAAGGUUAAUAACCUUGGCGAUUGACGUUACCCGCAGAAGAAGCACCGGCUAACUCCGUGCCAGCAGCCGCGGUAAUACGGAGGGUGCAAGCGUUAAUCGGAAUUACUGGGCGUAAAGCGCACGCAGGCGGUCUGUCAAGUCGGAUGUGAAAUCCCCGGGCUCAACCUGGGAACUACAUUCGAAACUGGCAGGCUAGAGUCUUGUAGAGGGGGGUAGAAUUCCAGGUGUAGCGGUGAAAUGCGUAGAGAUCUGGAGGAAUACCGGUGGCGAAGGCGGCCCCCUGGACAAAGACUGACGCUCAGGUGCGAAAGCGUGGGGAGCAAACAGGAUUAGAUACCCCUGAAGUC
RNAcentral lists this ribosomal RNA (465 nucleotides) under uncultured Klebsiella sp. RNAcentral describes it as "bacterial SSU rRNA". It matches the Rfam family "Bacterial small subunit ribosomal RNA", at positions 338 to 795 of the family's 1533-position model. The record is from RNAcentral. Lineage: Bacteria; Pseudomonadati; Pseudomonadota; Gammaproteobacteria; Enterobacterales; Enterobacteriaceae.